GGGUUGUGAGGUUAAGCGACUAAGCGUACACGGUGGAUGCCCUGGCAGUCAGAGGCGAUGAAGGACGUGCUAAUCUGCGAUAAGCGUCGGUAAGGUGAUAUGAACCGUUAUAACCGGCGAUUUCCGAAUGGGGAAACCCAGUGUGAUUCGUCACACUAUCAUUAACUGAAUCCAUAGGUUAAUGAGGCGAACCGGGGGAACUGAAACAUCUAAGUACCCCGAGGAAAAGAAAUCAACCGAGAUUCCCCCAGUAGCGGCGAGCGAACGGGGAGGAGCCCAGAGCCUGAAUCAGCAUGUGUGUUAGUGGAAGCGU
RNAcentral lists this ribosomal RNA (313 nucleotides) under Salmonella enterica. RNAcentral describes it as "bacterial LSU rRNA". It matches the Rfam family "Bacterial large subunit ribosomal RNA", at positions 1 to 310 of the family's 2925-position model. The record is from RNAcentral. Lineage: Bacteria; Pseudomonadati; Pseudomonadota; Gammaproteobacteria; Enterobacterales; Enterobacteriaceae.